This 484-nucleotide ribosomal RNA is filed under the name uncultured bacterium. Its description in RNAcentral is "partial 16S ribosomal RNA". It matches the Rfam family "Bacterial small subunit ribosomal RNA", at positions 30 to 507 of the family's 1533-position model. The record is from RNAcentral.
AUUGAACGCUGGCGGCAGGCCUAACACAUGCAAGUCGAGCGGAUGAGAGGAGCUUGCUCCUUGAUUUAGCGGCGGACGGGUGAGUAAUGCCUAGGAAUCUGCCUGGUAGUGGGGGAUAACGUUCCGAAAGGAACGCUAAUACCGAAUACGUCCUACGGGAGAAAGCAGGGGACCUUCGGGCCUUGCGCUAUCAGAUGAGCCUAGGUCGGAUUAGCUAGUUGGUGAGGUAAUGGCUCACCAAGGCGACGAUCCGUAACUGGUCUGAGAGGAUGAUCAGUCACACUGGAACUGAGACACGGUCCAGACUCCUACGGGAGGCAGCAGUGGGGAAUAUUGGACAAUGGGCGAAAGCCUGAUCUAGCCAUGCCGCGUGUGUGAAGAAGGUCUUCGGAUUGUAAAGCACUUUAAGUUGGGAGGAAGGGUAGUAAGCUAAUACCGUGCUGUUUUGACGUUACCGACAGAAUAAGCACCGGCUAACUUCGUG